GAGACGCGAAAUCACCGUACUACCGUACAAGUCAGAAGCUUUUUUAUUGUUACGCAUUCCCACUAAUGCAUACGUACAAUGAGCUUUAGACCAACACUGCUAUGGGUAAUGUAUGAAAAAUGCGGUUGCAGAAUCGGACGGGAAUUUGAUUCUCGUACCCGGUGGCGCACUUAUGUUUUGAUGGCGAUUGCACUGGUACGGUCGCACUGCACACAUGCCUGUCAGCAAUGUCCAGCUGCGACCUCUGACCCGAUAUCCCUGCUUUACUCUAUGUAUCCCGGCCUCUACUUCCAGGCCUCUACUCCCGGCCUCUACUUUCGGACAAUAAUACUUGUGUAGUGUCCACUUUAUCAUAAGUACGCUGACUUUCAUUUCGUUCCCUCCUACAGAUCCAUAACGGUCAUGCUAAUAUGUGUCGGUUGGCUUCAUGAAGAAGCAACGACCUUGGGGAGGGGAACGCGCUUGUUUCUCAGUGAUUUUCAAAUUCGCUAUCCUUCCAUCCGUGUGGCAUGCCUGCAAGCAAUCGCCCGCCAAGAUCUUCUGGGCCCUGUGUAAACACGCCAAAAACGCAACCCUUUGCUCCUCUUUCCCCCCGCUCCCCACUAUACCAGGUGCACAGGCCUUAUACACAACCCAUGCCCGCUUGGAUGAGUGGCGAAGUCUGAACCCUUCGAUGCUUGUUGUUGCUGCAUUAUUAAUGUCGGUCACAUUUCCUGUGCCCAAAAACUUGGCGAUGGUUUAGCUUUGUCCGUGUUUAACAGAAGGUACCAUAUGGUCGUGCAAAUAAGCAAUUGUAUCAUUGCGCACGCACCAAGCUCUUCACUGAUGUAUUGUUAUCAUAAUAUGCCGGGCUAAAACAAUCCGAUGUACAAUUGGGAAAGCUCUGCACCCAAGCCACAAAUUGGCCCCCUUUUGGCCCGUGCUCACCGUCAUCUGUAGCCCAGCUUGCCUGCAGCUGGUGUUGACCAUACUCUUCCAUGAUUAUGCUAUGUGUGCCAUCAUGUUGUAAGCUUUCUUUGCCUUCCAUGCUUCGUCCAUAAGAGUCCCUGCCGCUCUGUGCGACUCCUGUGUCUUUAGGUAGCAUAGUUCUCGUUUGCUUACCUUUGCUAAACCCCAGAAUCGAGGCGCCCAACUCAACGACGCAGCAACAUAAUAGGCAUCAGGACGCCAACAUGCAUCGCCAAACCACACCCUCCACGCAGCAAAGGCGAAGCAAACGUACCCAGUACCGUACACUGGUAACGCCUACCACCUAUACGCCAGCAAGGGACUCCCCACUCGCCCGCGACACCACGAUGAGGCAGACAGCCUGCAACCUGGACGAUCCAUCACAUACACAAGCGGAGAACAAUCUGAUUCGAGUGAAUACCGGCAACAAAAACAGACAAGUCGGGUGUCGGCUUCCUCGAAGCCAGAAAAAAGGCGGGGGCCCCCUGCCUCCGUACAGGCUGGUAGCUAGGGUAGUGUCAACGUGGUGGGAGCUGUGCUUGUUGCAGCAGUGCUGAUGCUGUGGGGCUAUGCUUGUCAGAGCGCGGGAGGCAGGAAGCCGGGGCUGAUAACCUGUUGAAGAGACGGUGUCCCUCUGGAACCUAACAGACACGGCUAAGAGUCAUUGGCCGUUACACGCAGUCGCAGUCUGGAGGUCCGCGACCUACCACCGACAGCCUCUUGAUUGGGUGUAAACGUAUGAGUCUGAGGUGCCGUUACCGGCACACAGCAGGGGCUCGGUCGCCAAGUCCGCGGUCCAGGCCGGAUGCUCAACGCUCAGCAGACACAAUCGCAGCCUGCCAGCCUUCAGCCUGUUGGCUUUGCGGUCUAGUGCCGCAGCCAUAACACACACGGAAAACAGCGCCGUACAGCAGAGGGGUGCAAAGUGGUCCUAAUCCUCUAAUCCAGGGGUUGGGUACCGGUCAGCAAUCCUCUAAUCUCAACAGGGGUGGACCACUUCUAAUCCCUAAUCCAGAGUGGUGGUCUAAUCCAUAUCCUAGGGUCGGGGUUCUAAUCCUAAUCCUGUGGCCGGGUCCCAAUCCCAAUCCGAGGGGGGGGGUCCCAAUCCUAAUCCUGGGGCCGGACGGCAAUCCUAACCCUGAGGCUGGGGUCCCAAUCCUAAUCCUGUUGGUCGUGUCGUAAUCCUUAACGUGGAGCUGUAUUGCAAUCGUACUCCUGUGACUGGUUCGGUAACCUUAAUUUUGGCUGGGGGACCCAAUCCUUAUCUAAGGAUGCCGUGACACG
RNAcentral lists this long non-coding RNA (2232 nucleotides) under Volvox carteri. RNAcentral's name for it is "long non-coding RNA (VCAR_LNC002264)". Lineage: Eukaryota; Viridiplantae; Chlorophyta; Chlorophyceae; Chlamydomonadales; Volvocaceae. The record is from RNAcentral.